Molecule: non-coding RNA, 495 nt
Organism: Caretta caretta (loggerhead turtle)
Lineage: Eukaryota; Metazoa; Chordata; Testudines; Cheloniidae
Source: the annotation of a RefSeq genome assembly
AUGGGGAUGUGCAUAGUCUGGUGUGCAGCAGUGUAUCUCUUGGGAGCAAGCCAAAGUGAUGCUAAAAUAACCCAAACACUGAGUCUGGUGCUGGAGAGAGGACAGACUGCCUAUCUCAGAUGUCAGCAAACAUAUGGGCAUGACAGCAUGUUCUGGUACCGGCAGGAUCCAGGGCAGGGACUGCAGCUGCUCUUUAACUUCUACUAUAAAGAAGAAAGAGAGAAAGGCACAAGUUCUAGUCACUUUCAGGCUGACCAGCCACAGGAUAAUCUCUUUCGCUUGAACAUCUCGUCUGUGCAGCCAGAGGACUCGGCUGUGUAUUUCUGCGCCAGCAGCUCAGACACAGCACUUCAGAGUCACCUCCUCCCUCUACAAAAACCUCGCCUGUUCCUUGUCACUCUGCAGCCUCACCACAGGGACAGCAACAAGAACACCUCGUCAAAAGGGAUCGUGGUGGCCCCGGUCAGCAUCGCUGACCAUGGCGUUGACUUCUGA